Molecule: ribosomal RNA, 376 nt
Filed under: uncultured bacterium
Lineage: Bacteria
Description: bacterial SSU rRNA
Rfam family: Bacterial small subunit ribosomal RNA
Source: RNAcentral
UAAAACGUAGGUGGCGAGCGUUAUCCGGAUUUACUGGGCGUAAAGCGUGUGCAGGCGGGGUGAUAAGUGGUGUAUGAAAUCUCUGGGCUUAACUCGGAGGGGUUAUGCCAGACUGUCACUCUAGAGUGCGAGAGAGGAGCGUGGAAUUCCGGGUGUAGUGGUGAAAUGCGUAGAGAUCCGGAGGAACCCCAGAGGCGAAGGCGGCGCUCUGGCUCGCAACUGACGCUCAGACACGACAGCAUGGGGAGCGAACGGGAUUAGAAACCCCGGUAGUCCAUGCCGUAAACGAUGUCAACUAGGCGCUGAGGGUAUCAACCCCCGCGGUGCCGAAGCCAACGCGAUAAGUUGACCGCCUGGGGAGUACGGCCGCAAGGCU